Molecule: unclassified non-coding RNA, 337 nt
Filed under: soil metagenome
Description: partial contains 5.8S ribosomal RNA, internal transcribed spacer 2, and large subunit ribosomal RNA
Rfam family: 5.8S ribosomal RNA (bases 1-120)
Source: RNAcentral
GAUGAAGAACGUAGUGAAAUGCGAUAAGUAAUGUGAAUUGCAGAAUUCAGUGAAUCAUCGAAUCUUUGAACGCACAUUGCGCCCGGCAGUACUCUGCCGGGCAUGCCUGUUCGAGCGUCAUUUCAACCCUCAAGCCCUGCUUGGUGUUGGGGCCCUGCGGCUGCCGCAGGCCCUGAAAGGAAGUGGCGGGCUCGCUACAACUCCGAGCGUAGUAAUUCAGUAUCUCGCUUAGGGCGUUGGGCGGCGCUCCUGCCGUUAAAGACCAUCUUUAACUCAAGGUUGACCUCGGAUCAGGUAGGAAUACCCGCUGAACUUAAGCAUAUCAAUAAGCGGAGGA